RNAcentral lists this unclassified non-coding RNA (328 nucleotides) under soil metagenome. RNAcentral describes it as "partial contains 5.8S ribosomal RNA, internal transcribed spacer 2, and large subunit ribosomal RNA". The stretch from base 1 to 120 matches the Rfam family "5.8S ribosomal RNA", at positions 35 to 154 of the family's 154-position model. The record is from RNAcentral.
GAUGAAGAACGUAUCUAAAUGCGAUAAGUAGUGUGAAUUGCAGAAUUCAGUGAAUCAUCGAAUCUUUGAACGCACAUUGCGCCCCUUGGUAUUCCGAGGGGCAUGCCUGUUCGAGCGUCAUUAUAACCCCUCAAGCUCAGCUUGGUGUUGGGGCCUGCCGCACGGGCAGCCCUUAAAAUCAGUGGCGGUGCCAUCUGGCUCUAAGCGUAGUAAUUCUUCUCGCUAUAGAGUCCCGGUGGAUGCUUGCCAUUAACCCCCAAUUUUCUAUGGUUGACCUCGGAUCAGGUAGGGAUACCCGCUGAACUUAAGCAUAUCAAUAAGCGGAGGA